This 253-nucleotide ribosomal RNA is filed under the name uncultured bacterium. RNAcentral's name for it is "partial 16S ribosomal RNA". It matches the Rfam family "Bacterial small subunit ribosomal RNA", at positions 524 to 776 of the family's 1533-position model. The record is from RNAcentral.
UACGUAUGGAGCAAGCGUUAUCCGGAUUUACUGGGUGUAAAGGGAGCGCAGGCGGCUUUGCAAGUCUGAUGUGAAAGGCCGGGGCUCAAUCCCGGGACUGCAUUGGAAACUGUAAAGCUAGAGUGCCGGAGAGGUAAGCGGAAUUCCUAGUGUAGCGGUGAAAUGCGUAGAUAUUAGGAGGAACACCAGUGGCGAAGGCGGCUUACUGGACGGCAACUGACGCUGAGGCUCGAAAGCGUGGGGAGCAAACAGG